UACGAGGGGUCCAAGCGUUGUUCGGAAUUACUGGGCGUAAAGCGGGUGUAGGCGGCCGUGUAAGUCGGAUGUGAAAGCCCUGGGCUCAACCCAGGAAGUGCAUCCGAUACUGCAUGGCUUGAGUACUGAAGAGGGAAGUGGAAUUCCUGGUGUAGCGGUGAAAUGCGUAGAUAUCAGGAGGAACAUCGGUGGCGAAGGCGGCUUCCUGGUCAUGUACUGACGCUCAGACCCGAAAGCGUGGGUAGCAAACAGG
This 253-nucleotide unclassified non-coding RNA is filed under the name uncultured Pseudobdellovibrionaceae bacterium. RNAcentral describes it as "uncultured Bdellovibrionaceae bacterium contains 16S-23S intergenic spacer region". It matches the Rfam family "Bacterial small subunit ribosomal RNA", at positions 524 to 776 of the family's 1533-position model. Lineage: Bacteria; Pseudomonadati; Bdellovibrionota; Bdellovibrionia; Bdellovibrionales; Pseudobdellovibrionaceae. The record is from RNAcentral.